CCCAGUCCCGCAAGGGGACGUGGAGGCCUCGGCCAAAGCGGAUUUUUUAAAUCAUGCAUCGAGAAAAACCCAUAUGAAUACUAAGGCGCCCGUACCGGAAACCGACACAGGUGGGUGGGCAUAAAUGUGCCAAGGCGCGUGAGUGAAACCUCGUUAAGGAACUCUGCAAUCUAGCCCCGUAACUACGGAAGAAGGGGUGCCCACUUUUAGUGGGUCGCAGUGAAAUGGGUGUACCGACUGUUUAUCAAAAACACAGCACUCUGCUAAGUCGUAAGACAACGUAUAGGGUGUGACACGUGACCAAUGCGGAAAGAUUACGGUAAGUGGUUAGGCGCAAGCCGAAGCUACGAGCCCAAGUCCCCGUGAAUGUCGGCCGUAACAAUAACGGUCCUAAGGUAGCGAAAUUCCUUGUCGGGUAAGUUCCGACCUGCACGAAUCGUGUAACGAGUGCACCGCUGUCUCAACGAGGAGCUCAGCGAAGUUGUAAUGGCGGUGAAGAUGCCGCCUACCCGCAGCAGGACGGAAAGACCCUAUGCACCUUUACUGUACGCUGUUACUGUGUUUUCGAUUUUCAUGCUUAGCGUAAGUGGGAGACUUUGAAUCGCUUCUUUCGGGGAGCGACGAGUCGUCAAUGAAACACCACCCUUGGAAAUUGGAAACUCUAACCCUCACCCAUGAUCUGGGGAGGGGACACUGGCAGCCGGUCAGUUUUACUGGGGCGGUAUCCUCCUAAAGAGUAACGGAGGAGUACGAAGGUUGGCUCAACCUGGUUGGUAAUCAGGUGACGAGUACAUGGAUAUAAGCCAGCCUAACUGUGAGACCUACAAGUCGAGCAGAUGCGAAAGCAGGUCCAAGUGAUCCGGUGGUUGAAAGUGGAAUCGCCAUCGCUCAACGGACAAAAGGUACGCUAGGGAUAACAGGCUGAUCGAGUCCAAGAGCUCAUAUCGACGACUCGGUUUGGCACCUCGAUGUCGGCUCAUCACAUCCUGGGGCUGGAGAAGGUCCCAAGGGUCCGGCUGUUCGCCGGUUAAAGUGGUACGCGAGCUGGGUUCAGAACGUCGCGAGACAGUUCGGUCCUUAUCCGCUGUGGGCGCAGGAAAGUUGAGGGGUUUAAACCUUAGUACGAGAGGACCGGGUUUAACGAACCUCUGGUGUUCCAGUUGUCGUGUCAACGGCAGUGCUGGGCAGCUACGUUCGGAAGAGAUAAGCGCUGAAAGCAUCUAAGCGCCAAGCUCCUCCCAAGAUUGACUUUCCCUGAAGAGUCGUGGUAGACCACCACGUUGAUAGGCCAUAGGUAUAAGCGCAGUAAUGUGUUGAGCUUAGUGGUACUAAUAACUCGUUCGGCUUGAUCGA
RNAcentral lists this ribosomal RNA (1353 nucleotides) under metagenome. RNAcentral describes it as "bacterial LSU rRNA". It matches the Rfam family "Bacterial large subunit ribosomal RNA", at positions 1546 to 2925 of the family's 2925-position model. The record is from RNAcentral.